UACAGAUGCAUGUUCUGAUGGUGACUUUGAUGGUGACUAUUGGUUCCGUUGAUCGUCCUAUUUAUAAGUCGGAUUUAUGGACAUUUAUUUCCGAGACGCCGGAAUUCUAUCCGCAAUAUUUAUCAGUGGGGAUCCGUUUAUUUCAGGAUUCCCUGGGCCGAUUCAGAGAUUGUUGUGGUUAUCUGUUCAGAGAACCUCU
Molecule: long non-coding RNA, 199 nt
Filed under: Lathyrus oleraceus (garden pea)
Lineage: Eukaryota; Viridiplantae; Streptophyta; Magnoliopsida; Fabales; Fabaceae
Description: Pisum sativum (pea) long non-coding RNA (PSAT_LNC035797)
Source: RNAcentral